GUAGUCCACGCCCUAAACGAUGAUCACUAGACGUCAGAAAGCCUAAUCUUUUUGGUGUCGUAGCUAACGCGUUAAGUGAUCCGCCUGGGAAGUACGGUCGCAAGAUUAAAACUCAAAGAAAUUGACGGGGGCCCGCACAAGCGGUGGAGUAUGUGGUUUAAUUCGAUGCUACGCGAAAAACCUUACCUGGGCUUGACAUCCCGCGCUACCCUUGGAAACAGGGGGUUCCCUUCGGGGACGCGGAGACAGGUGCUGCAUGGCUGUCGUCAGCUCGUGUUGUGAGAUGUUGGGUUAAGUCCCGCAACGAGCGCAACCCUCGCAUUUAGUUACCAUCAUUAAGUUGGGCACUCUAAAUGUACCGCUUGGCUAUAAGCCAGA
RNAcentral lists this ribosomal RNA (378 nucleotides) under uncultured bacterium. Its description in RNAcentral is "bacterial SSU rRNA". It matches the Rfam family "Bacterial small subunit ribosomal RNA", at positions 790 to 1167 of the family's 1533-position model. The record is from RNAcentral.